CGGGGUGUAGCGCAGUUGGUAGCGCGCAUCGUUCGGGACGAUGAGGUCGCAGGUUCGAAUCCUGUCACCCCGACCA
Molecule: transfer RNA, 76 nt
Filed under: bacterium
Lineage: Bacteria
Description: tRNA-Pro
Rfam family: tRNA
About the family: Transfer RNA (tRNA) molecules are approximately 80 nucleotides in length.
Source: RNAcentral